Non-coding RNA from Camellia sinensis, 575 nucleotides. The record is from RefSeq and is a predicted model, not a curated record. NCBI's taxonomy places the organism in Eukaryota, Viridiplantae, Streptophyta, Magnoliopsida, Ericales, Theaceae.
GGCCGAGGGGGGAGCCGAGGAGGAGGUCAGGUUGGGACUAGGUUUGGCAAGCAGAAUAAAGGAGGUGUUCAAUCCGAUAGACAAACCUCGCAGGGGAGAGUUUUUGCUUUGACUCAGCGGGAUGCUCAGGCUAAUCCAGAGGUGGUAACAGGAUUGGAGGAAGGCAUCUCUCCACCUCUUGGAAAUUAAUUUGUAGAGUUUCAAAUCUACACUUUUGCUAUUUUUGGAGAUUCAUAGACUUUUGUGUGGCUCGCCUCAACUUGGAAGACUAGAAUUUUUUGAAGGAUCACAGGUGGGCAUCUUGUGGUUGAGGUUUUUCUUAGGGUCAUUCUAGGAUGUAAGCUUACCCUUUUUUUUAUGAAGGAGGUUGAUUGUAAAUAUUGCUUAUGAAGUUGGAUGUAUUGAUGGAUUCGUGAUUAGUAUGUAUUAUAUUUUUUUUGGGAGGAAAUGCUUGGGAACUAUCUUGUAGCAUGAUAAUACUUUUUUUGUCUUUGAAUAGAUCAUUUCAUAUAUGUUAGGCAAUUGAAAGGUCUUAUGCACUUUUGGUAAUGUGGUGAUGUGAUGUAUGAAUUAUA